UACGUAGGUGGUAAGCGUUGUCCGGAAUUAUUGGGCGUAAAGCGCGCGCAGGCGGUCCUUUAAGUCUGAUGUGAAAGCCCACGGCUCAACCGUGGAGGGUCAUUGGAAACUGGGGGACUUGAGUACAGAAGAGAAGAGUGGAAUUCCACGUGUAGCGGUGAAAUGCGUAGAGAUGUGGAGGAACACCAGUGGCGAAGGCGACUCUUGGUCUGUAACUGACGCUGAGGCGCGAAAGCGUGGGGAGCAAACAGG
This 252-nucleotide ribosomal RNA is filed under the name uncultured bacterium. RNAcentral's name for it is "partial 16S ribosomal RNA". It matches the Rfam family "Bacterial small subunit ribosomal RNA", at positions 524 to 776 of the family's 1533-position model. The record is from RNAcentral.